Molecule: ribosomal RNA, 1430 nt
Filed under: uncultured organism
Description: 16S ribosomal RNA
Rfam family: Bacterial small subunit ribosomal RNA
Source: RNAcentral
UAACACAUGCAAGUCGAACGGAAAGGCCCUGCUUUUGUGGGGUGCUCGAGUGGCGAACGGGUGAGUAACACGUGAGUAACCUGCCCUUGACUUUGGGAUAACUUCAGGAAACUGGGGCUAAUACCGGAUAGGAGCUCCUGCUGCAUGGUGGGGGUUGGAAAGUUUCGGCGGUUGGGGAUGGACUCGCGGCUUAUCAGCUUGUUGGUGGGGUAGUGGCUUACCAAGGCUUUGACGGGUAGCCGGCCUGAGAGGGUGACCGGCCACAUUGGGACUGAGAUACGGCCCAGACUCCUACGGGAGGCAGCAGUGGGGAAUAUUGCACAAUGGGCGGAAGCCUGAUGCAGCAACGCCGCGUGCGGGAUGACGGCCUUCGGGUUGUAAACCGCUUUCGCCUGUGACGAAGCGUGAGUGACGGUAAUGGGUAAAGAAGCACCGGCUAACUACGUGCCAGCAGCCGCGGUGAUACGUAGGGUGCGAGCGUUGUCCGGAUUUAUUGGGCGUAAAGGGCUCGUAGGUGGUUGAUCGCGUCGGAAGUGUAAUCUUGGGGCUUAACCCUGAGCGUGCUUUCGAUACGGGUUGACUUGAGGAAGGUAGGGGAGAAUGGAAUUCCUGGUGGGGCGGUGGAAUGCGCAGAUAUCAGGAGGAACACCAGUGGCGAAGGCGGUUCUCUGGGCCUUUCCUGACGCUGAGGAGCGAAAGCGUGGGGAGCGAACAGGCUUAGAUACCCUGGUAGUCCACGCUGUAAACGGUGGGUACUAGGUGUGGGGUCCAUUCCACGGGUUCCGUGCCGUAGCUAACGCUUUAAGUACCCCGCCUGGGGAGUACGGCCGCAAGGCUAAAACUCAAAGGAAUUGACGGGGCCCCGCGCAAGCGGCGGAGCAUGCGGAUUAAUUCGAUGCAACGCGUAGAACCUUACCUGGGUUUGACAUGGAUCGGGAGUGCUCAGAGAUGGGUGUGCCUCUUUUGGGGUCGGUUCACAGGUGGUGCAUGGCUGUCGUCAGCUCGUGUCGUGAGAUGUUGGGUUAAGUCCCGCAACGAGCGCAACCCUUGUUCACUGUUGCCAGCACGUUAUGGUGGGGACUCAGUGGAGACCGCCGGGGUCAACUCGGAGGAAGGUGGGGAUGACGUCAAGUCAUCAUGCCCCUUAUGUCCAGGGCUUCACGCAUGCUACAAUGGCUGGUACAGAGAGUGGCGAGCCUGUGAGGGUGAGCGAAUCUCGGAAAGCCGGUCUCAGUUCGGAUUGGGGUCUGCAACUCGACCUCAUGAAGUCGGAGUCGCUAGUAAUCGCAGAUCAGCAACGCUGCGGUGAAUACGUUCCCGGGGCUUGUACACACCGCCCGUCAAGUCAUGAAAGUUGGUAACACCCGAAGCCGGUGGCCUAACCGUUGUGGGGGAGCCGUCGAAGGUGGGACUGGUGAUUAGGACUAAGU